RNAcentral lists this ribosomal RNA (384 nucleotides) under uncultured bacterium. RNAcentral's name for it is "bacterial SSU rRNA". It matches the Rfam family "Bacterial small subunit ribosomal RNA", at positions 28 to 414 of the family's 1533-position model. The record is from RNAcentral.
GACGAACGCUGGCGGCGUGCUUAACACAUGCAAGUCGAGCGGUAAGGCUCCUUCGGGAGUACGCGAGCGGCGAACGGGUGAGUAACACGUGAGCAAUCUGCCCUUCACAUCGGAAUAACUUCGGGAAACCGAAGCUAAUACCGGAUACGACCAUCGGUGGCAUCAUCUGAUGGUGGAGAGUUCCGGCGGUGGAGGAUGAGCUCGCGGCCUAUCAGCUGUUGGUGGGGUAAUGGCCCACCAAGGCGACGACGGGUAGCCGGCCUGAGAGGGUGACCGGCCACACUGGGACUGAGACACGGCCCAGACUCCUACGGGAGGCAGCAGUGGGGAAUAUUGGACAAUGGGCGAAAGCCUGAUCCAGCAACGCCGCGUGAGGGAUGACGG